AUGACUGGAGCGUCUGGCUCGCGGAGAUCAACAUGGCAGUUUUCCUGUGCACCCGCAUAAAACCGUCCGCCUACUCAGAUGUGGCUGAGGGAGUGGACUGCUGCUGGUCAUCUCUAUCAGAGGAAUGUUGAUGGACACCACUCUCCUCCCCUGGUGACAACUCUUGAUGCAUCCCUACUGUGACAAGCAAGUUUAUGAACUUUGGACAUAUUGAGAUUAUAGUCUGGCUGAGGUAAGUGCUGAUGUGGGCCUAAACCACAGCCUGCACCGUGGGACUGUCACAGAGACACAGUUGAGUGAUGAUGUGUCCCUACAGGCCUUACCACCAUUAUUUCCUUCAUACUUAUUCAGGUGAGAAAUGAUUGAGUCUUGUCUUGGUAAGUGAUGAUGGUGAUGAUGGUGUAGGCCUCCCUGUUGUUCCCGAUUUCGCUUCAGGUGUCCCUGACAUAUUCGAAACCGUGAGUUUUCCCUCUGCAUAUUUCAGAGACAAUGCCUAACCCCGUGUUCACAGUGGAACUUUGAAUACUUGGUAAUUAUCCGGUGUUCCUUCCCACAGCAGUGACCAUGGACAUUUUGCAGGUGUCCUGUAGAGAGAAAUGCUGUCUUCUGGGACCACCGCCCUGAGCUUGGGGGCCCCCACUAGCAUUCAGGUUCCCGGGAGAAAAUCCUGAAGAACGGGGGUCAUGAGCAGGGGACGUGUCUGCUAUCUGGGUAAGUGAUUGUGUGCACCAUAAACUUACCACGGACAACCUGAUCUUCACGUUUGUAGGUCAGUGAGGUUCCUUUCCCUGAACAGUUUACCAUGUGAUGCGUUUAUGGGUAUUCCGGUAAGAAAGGGUAGUGGCUCCUCGUUCUCCUUGCCAUGUAAUCCUAUUGUUUUCUGUCUUGGAGAGAACGUAUGAGGUAAGUACCCUGUGAGUGCUGAUGGAUUGGCACGUAACCAGGGAACUCCAGUGGCACUGUGCAUCACAGGAGUAACUAAGGUGGAUGUGCAGAGAAGACGGCCAGAGAAAAUGAAGUGUCCUAUGAUGUCCUACCCCUUGGAGCAACCACAAGCAUCCAGAAGUCAAGGGAACCCUCAUUAUGCUCGAGCAGGGGCACUCUGCCCAUAUCCAGAGAGGAGACAGUAUGGGCGUAAGCAGGCCAUGGACGAUCCAGUCUUCCGAUACACAGGAUAAUGUGCAUUGAACCUGAGUCCGUGUUGACUGUGGUAGAUGCGGGUGUCCAGGUAUGCCAAGUGGCAUCCCGGAAAACACCUGUCAGAUGCGUUUCUUCUGCUGCUGCUAGUCAUGAGAUCAAGGUGGGUCUGAGAAUGGCCAUUCAGAGGCCCUGGAUAGUAACCAGGUAAUGGAUGACACCAGUCCUAUGCCAAUACAGACCACUUGAACUUCAGAUUUCCUGGACAAAGAGGGCACUGUCCUUGACACAGUGUUUUUCCCAUGGUUUCCUGCAGGAGUCCCGUAAAGUUCUCUUCCUGUAGAGAGGUAGGAGAUGUUGUGGCAUUACCUCAUGAAAGACAUUCUGAAUUUCCUGCAUGUAGAUAGUUAAUGAUGGUUUAAGUCUGGUAGAGUAACCUUGUGUUUGGCAUAUGUGUCAUUGAGAAAAAAUAAUUAGUGAUUCCCAAUGCCAGUAAGCAUGAGAUUUUACUGUUUGCUUAUUCAGAGGUAAGGGCUUUUAUUUUUUUUUUUCGGUAAAUCUGACCCUCCACGUGAGAAACAGAUAUGCCAGUGCCCAGGUAGUUGAUCAUAUUGUCUGUCACCCCGAUGUGGACUGUGCUGUUUCUCCAGGUAUCCCUCGGAGGCUCUGGCUUAGAUAUUUUCAGUUAUCUGGGUAACCUGGAUGAGUUGCGAAACGAUACCAAUGAACAAGAGUAUUUGUGGGUGUCCUCGUAGCAUAGGUUGUGUACCAAGCAGAGUUUCCCCAAUAUGUCUUUCAGAUGAAUGUCAGGGCAUCACAGCAGGCCUUUUGAAGCUAGGUAACGUGGGGCAUUGCUGGCUGAGGUAAGUGCUGACACAGGCCUAAACCACAGCCCGCAGCAUCGUACUGUCACAGAGGCUUAUUUCAAUGAUGAUGUGCCCCUACACAUCUUCCCGCCAUGAUUUCUUUUCCAUGUAUUCAGAUGAGAAAUGAUUCCGUUUUCACCACUCCCAGAUAGGCCGGGUUUUCCCAUUUUAUAAAAGUAUAUGCUGAACCCUGUGAGUGUUGAGGGAUUGCAGGGAGCCAGGUAUUUAUCGCUGUGUUCCCCACUUCUGUGCUGCCGCUCCGAUUUCUAGAGAUGUGCAGUUGAGAAACAGUAGUUUUCUGCUGUCAGGGUCGACCUGAGAUUACUGCAACUAUACACAUCGAGUGGGUGUGUCCCAUAAAGAUGGAAAUAAACAUGGGACUUUGUGGGAGUCUUUGCAGAAAACCCCCUGUCUUUUUACACAUAUGUAUUGGUGCCUCUUUCAGAUUCCUGCUAUGACAUCACAGUGAAUCCAACAUGGGUCCCUAUCAGGAAGCAGGGCUGCUCUGCAGGUCAAGGCUGCAUGAGGACCCAAAGCAACACAUGGGCCACUUGAAGUUCAGGUGUAUAGGUAAGUGAGGAUGGUGUCCAUACUUCCUGUUGUUCCCAUGAUUUCACCUCAGGUGUCCUGGUCAGAAAUGACAAAUGUCCCUGGCACACUAGAAACCGUGAGAUUUCCCUCUGCAUAUUUCAGAGACAAUGUCUAACCCAGUGAGCACAGUGGGACUGCAAAUACCAGGUAAUGAUCUUGGGGUUCCCAGCCACAGCGAUUACGCUGGACAUUUUGCAGGUGUCUUGUAGAGAGAAAUGCUGUUUUCUGGGCCUGCAGCCCUGAGCUUAGGGGGUCCCACCAGCAUCCAAGUAAGAGUCCUUCAACGAUGGAUGCGAGCAUUGUGAUUUGCAUGUGUCCUGUUAGAACACUUUGUGUGUUUCUGAGGCAUAUAUCUCAGUGUAGGUUUUCCAGGGUCCCACAAGGAAAUCCCGAUAAACAGGAGUCAGGAUCAGGGAACACGUCUGCUAUCUGGGUAAGUGAUGGUGUUCAUGGUAAACUCACCACACACCAGGCGAUCUCCACAUACCUAGGUAAGCAAGGUUCCUUUGCCUGAAGGGUUUAUCAUGUGAUGGGUUAACAGGUAUUUUGGUAAGAAAGGGUAGCGGCUCUCCGUUCUCCUCGCCAUGUGAUCCUAUUGAUUUCUACCCUGGAAAGAAUGUAUGAUGUAUGUGGUCUGUGAGGGCUGAUUGAUUGUCACAUACCCAGGGAACUCAUGUGGCAUUGUGCAUCACAGGAGUAACUGUGGUGGAUUUGCAGGGAAACUGGCCAGGGAAAAAUAGUGUGUCCUACAAUGGCCUAGACCCUGGAGGGCCUGCAAGCAUCCAAAUACAUUUUUGACUCCCACAGUGAUUAUACUGAGCAAGGCGGUUUGCAGGAUCCUGAUGGAAAAGCUGUGUCUGUUGAGCCAUUGAUCACACUUGCAGUUUCAGGUUCAGGCAGGCAGAAGUCAGAGCAUGAGGACAACAUUGAGGUCUCUCCAGGCGAUUUAUGGACUCUCGGAUUUGGUAGUGAUUCAGAUAUGAUGGCGAACCUAAUCACAAAAUAACCAUGAGAUCAUGAGAUUGUCAGGGGUCUAGUAAAAAGAUGGUGGUCCCCUUAACCAUGAAAGUUAUGAUGAAAUUUUGUAAGCCAGUAAUUAAGAGAUCACAGAGAUCCUAACCGUGAUACUGAACAAGGAAUUUUGCAAAUCACCAGGUAAGAGAUGAUUGUGUCUCUAAAAAUGUGGUGACCGUGGGAUUUUGCAGAUAUCCAAUUAAGGAAUAAUGUGUUCCUAGAAAUUGUAGUACCAAGGUAUUCAGCAGUUACCCAGGAAAGAAAUGGUAUGUCCCUAGCAAUGGCAUUUAAUCUGGGUAAUUUGUAGGUCUCCAUGUAUGGUAGGUUUUUCUAAAUCUGAUAGAUCUCAUGGGCUUCUGUAGGCAUCCGCAUGAGAGAUGAUAUGUCAUAAAUUGUAAGUAACUGCCACUACCGUAACCAAAGUAUUUUAUAAGUGUCCAGCUAAGAGCUCUGGCUUUAUGUAUUUGUUGGAUUUAUGACCAUUUUUUUCUGUGUUUUCAUAGUUUUUUUUCUUUUUUUGAGAGUCUGGCUGAGGUAUUGCUGAUGCACGCAUAAACCACAGCAUGCACCAUGGGACUGUCCCAGGGACCUGGUUCACUGAUGAGAUGUCCCCACACGUCUUCCCGCCGUGAUUUCUUUCACAGGUACUCAGCUGAGAAAUGAUUGAGUCCUUACCAAUCCCAGAUUGGCCAGGUUUUCCCAUUUUCUGUUUCAACAAAAGUGUAUGCUGAAACCUGUGAGUGUAGAGGGAUUGCAGGGAGUCAGGUAUUUAUCACUGUAUUCCCCGCCCCCGUGCUGCCCCUAGGAUGUCUACAGGUGAACAGUCGAGAAACGGUGGUUUUCUGCUAUCAGGGUCGACCUGAGAUUACUGCAAGUAUCCAGGUCGAGUGGGUGUGUCCCCAAAAGAUGGAAAUCAAGGUUAUUUGUAGGAGUGCUGGUGGAAAACCCCAUGUCCUUCUACACAUGUGUCUUCUACACAUCUGAUUUUGCAAGCUGCCAGAGAAGAUAUGAUGGUGUCUCUAAAAAUGUCUAAACAUGUGGUGACCACGGGAUUUUGCAGAUAACCAGUUAAGUAAUAAUGUGUCACUAGAAAUGGUAGUCCCAAGGUAUUUAACAGUUUUUCAGUCACCCAGGAAAGAAAUGAUGUGUCCUUAGCAAUGGCAUUUAAUUUGGUUAAUUUGUAGGUCUCCAUGUCUGGUAGGUAUUUCUAUAUCUGGUUGAUCUCCUGGGCUUCUGUAGGCAUCCACAUGAGAGAUGAUGUGUCACAAAUUGUAACCAAGUGCCAAGGUAUUUUACAAGUAUCUCACUUAAAGCUCUGGUGAAUAUAAGUUUUUGAAGAUACCCAGUAGGGAAUGAUGUUGGCCUAAGCCGUGGUAAUGCCCACGAGUAGUGCCCAUAUCUUGGUAACAGGUGGUGUGUGUCUAAUUAUGGUUGUCACCAUGGUUUUUUUGCAAAUUCCAGCAACAUAAUGAAGACAAUCUUAACCGCUCUUAUGAAUAUAGGAUUUCGCAAGAAUUGAGGAAAGAAAUAAUGUGGGCUUUAACCAAGUAGACAUGAUUAGAUUUUGGGGAUUUCUAAAUAAGUGAUCACGGUGUCCCUAACCAUGGGAUUUUGCAGGUUGUAGUCAAUAGGUGAUGAUGAAUUUAACAGUAGGCGCAAACAUGGGAUUUCUUGAUACCCAGGUAAGACAUGAUGUGGUCCUUAAACAUAUUACAGACCAUAUGAUUUUUUAGAUACCUAGAUAAGCAAUAAUAUAUCCUGAAAUCUUGAUGUUACCUUUUUUUUUUCCCAUUUAAAAAGUCGCUCAUUCUCAAAUAUUUGUGCAGGGCUGAUUUCAGAGUAUAAGAAUGCACCAGCGGUUGGCCCAGUGACUCACGCUUUAAUCCCUACACUUUCGGAGGCCGAGGCGGGCAGAUCACUUUAGGUCAGGAGUUCGAGACCAGCCUGGCCAACAUAGUGAAACCCUGUCUCUACUAAAAGUACAAAAUUUAGCCGGGCGUCCUUGUACAUGCCUGUAGUCCCAGCUAGUCGGGAGGCUGAGGCACGAGAAUCACUUGAACCCAGAAGGCAGAUGUUGCAGUGAGCCGAGGUUGGGCCACUGCAGUCCAGACUGGGCGACAGAGCGUCUUUGCCCCCAUCACCCCACCCCCAAACAAAGAAAGAGUAAUGCACCAGAGUCAUGAAAUAAUGAUCUUACCACAGAGGGCGUAAAAAACAAAACCUCAGAAAAUAUUACCAUAUUUCGAAAGACUUGUGGAAAAUAAUUAAGGACCAGGUAGCAGAAAUUGUGAUCAGAGGAAAUAACAUAAGAAUAUACUUAAGCGCACAGUACAUAGUUGGAGGGAGAACUGUUUAUCCUUCUAAAACCGUUACUAUGAUCAACACAGACAAGAGACACUUCCCUGAAAGGUUAAAUUGUUUCAUGAGAAAUAAAAGCAACCAAAAUGAGCCACAUUAUCUACAAUAGAAGAGACUAUAUGGAAAAAGUUCUAUGGCAAGAGCUAAUUCGUUGGUAUACAAAAAGAUCCAUGAAAAAUGACCCAAUUUUAGACACAUUAGAUAUUGCAGGCUCAAAAAUCAAAGGAACAUUUUGAAAGCUAAUUUAAAUUUAAUUAAUUGCUGAAUGUCUCCUUGGCUAGUAGUUGAACGAUCAUUAUUUAGUCCCACAUCUCUCUCGUCAUUUUGUUUGCAAACUGUCUAAAAGCCUUAUUUCCUCAUCUCUUUGACAGAUGACCAAAAUGGAUCCUACAGUAUAAUCACACAGGAUAAUGUUGGAAAGUAUGACUAUCUAAAUUAUUUUUAAAGGCAUUAUUUUUCCCCUUUGAUUUUCAAAUUCUUUCUCAUAAUUUCUAAAAUGGUGUCGACAGCGGCCUGUACUGUGCCUUCACUGAUGUCAUCACUGAGAUCACUCUCAAUUGCUCUCGAACUUGUUGUUGGCCUUUCGUGUAGGUAUGAACUGUGGCCCGGCAGAUCUGACUGUUGUUGCUGCUGCUUCUGUUCCUGCUGAUGCUUUUCAAAAUAGUCUUCUUUUAUUUUCUUCGGCUGUUCUGAAGCAGGAGUUACACAUGAUGUCUUUGGAAGAUCUUGCGAUGUGUUUCCGGAACUACCUUGCAUGCUUAACUCAAUAGUACUGCGGAGAUGUUCAUCUUCUCUAUUGGUUUCUUGGCGGCUUAGUUCAAGGGCCCUCUGAAAAUCCUCCUCAUCUUGGUCUGAUGUUCCAGACUCAUCACUUUCUUCUGAUACUUUUUCAAGGACUGUUUUAUAGACUCUAUGCUCUUUUUGUUUUACUAAUUUUUUUCCAUUAAGUUUUGGUGUAUCCAUCUCUUCGACACUGAUGAUCUGCAGGAGUUGGUCAGCUUCACAGUCUGGCAGAUCACCCUUGACAACAAAUACAGAAUAUGCUUGUUGUUGUAAUCGAGCCAAGAAAUUUGCAAGGCAUGUAUCUGAUAUUAAUUCUGGACCCGCCAAGAGAGAAUUCAAGUUAAACCAGUGUUUUCCAAAUUUUCUAAUAGUAAACCAGUGUUGUUUAUAAUUACAUAUAAAAGAUCUUUCAUUUAUAGGAUCAAUGCCGAGCUUCUGAUAUUCAGGAUUAUUGAAAUGGAUGAUCUCUAAACCCCAGAACUUCAAGGCAUUGCUUAUUACCUGAAUGGAGAAGAAACCGGUAUCAUCCAUGUUUUCUGAAGGCUGCUGUAAAAAUGCAAGAUACUCUUCACUGGUGACUCCUCCUUCUGCCAUUCUCAUCCUCUCUUCUUCAUCUAGCUGAUGUGCAAUUGAGGCUAAUUCCACAGGGCUAAAAUAUUCUCCUUGCAAUAGAUUGUUCAGACAGUGCUGAGCACACAGGAAACCUUCCUGUUUCUCAUGAAAGAUGAAAUCCAUGUUAAUUGUAUCCGUGAGUUUCUGUAGGUAUGCCGGAAGAUGUUGUAUGCCCAGCUAUGGCAGUUACCUGGGCAGUUUGUGGAUAGCCAUGUAACAGAUGUUAGGUUUUCAAACCUUAUGAAGACCAUGGGUUUUUGCAGGUAUUCAGGUAAGAGAUGGUAUGUCACAAAGCACUAUUGUGACCAAGGUGGUUUUGCCAGUAUCCAGUCAAAAGCUGAUGGUAAACCUAAAGUGAAUAUGGGAUUUUGGAGUUAUCCCAUAGAUGAUAAUGGUGACUUGCACCAUAGUAGUGCCCGUUGGAAUUUCAGAUGUCCUAUAAAAAUAAUGUCUCUCUAAUUAUGCUUGUCAGCAUGGUUUUAGUAAGUAAAUAAAGGUGAAAUUUACCACAGCACUAAACAGAAGAUUUGGCAGGUAACUGGGAGAGAAAUAACAUGGGCUUUAACCGAAUGGACACCAUGGGAUUUUGGAACUGUCUGGCUAAGUUAUCAUGAUGUCACUGACCACAAUAAUAGCCAUAGAAUUUUGUAGGUUCCAGUCAAUAGAUGACAAUAAAACUCACAGUGGCAAUGAAGAUGGGACUUUGCUGGUAUCCUAGUUAGAGAUUAUGUGGACCUGAAAAACAUGAGUGACCAAAUGAUCUUCAGACAUCUAGAAAACUGAUGAUGAUGUCCUGAACUCUUUUCUUAUCCAUGUGUUUUUACAGGUGUUCAGGUAAGAAAUGUAUGUGCCUAACAAAAGUAGUAACCAUUAGAUUUUACUGUUUUCUAGUUCAGAGACAAUCUUUCUCAAACUUAGUAGUGACAAAGAUAUUAGCAGGUAUCCGGGUAAGAUAUCACAGAGUUCCUCACCACAGUAGUAACUAUGGGAUUUUUGCAGGAGUCCAGUGAACAGACAGUGUGUGAAACUACUAUGUUGACCUUGGACUUCUCUUGAGUGUCCAAGUACACUUAGUGGUUGCCCUAAUGAUUAUAGUGAGUGUAUGCAUGGAAUUAUCAGGGGUCCAGAUGGAAGGACAUGUAUCCUGACCAGGGUUGCCACCAUAUGUUUUCUCAGCAGGUAGUCAAGAGAUGAUGGUGUCUCUAACUACAACAUUGGCCUCAGAACCUUAAGAUUCAGGUAGAGUUCAUGGUUCCCCUAACAAUACUAGUCACCAUGGGAUUUUUUGAGGUGCGUAUAGAAGAUGUAUCCCUAACCACUACUGCUGCCAUAUGGUUUUGCAAGCUCCUAUCAAGAGAUAAUGGUGAAACUCAUAUUAGUCAUUUUUGUAGGAAUUUCAUGGAAUCUAGCUAAGUGAUUAUGUGGACCUUAAACACAGUACAGACCAUCUGCUCUUCAGACAUCGAGGUAAGUGACGAUGAUGUCCUCAACAUGUGUUGGUAUCAUGUGUUUUGCAGGUAUUCGGGUAAAAAAAAAUGAUACGGGCUCUACCAAUAAGUAUUGGAAUCCAUGAGCUUUAGCUUAACCAGUUUUCUAGUUUAGAGAUAUUGUGUGUUUAACUUUAGGAGUGAAUGAGGGAUUUUCAGGUAUCUAGGCAAGUGAUCAUAACUUUCUUCACCACAGUAAUGACCUUGAGAUUUUUAUAGAUGCCCAGACAAUAAAUGACGGUGCCUGUACCAAUGUGUUGACCUUCAGGUUCUGCCAAUAUCCAGGUAGCAUUAAUGGGUUUGUAAAGAUGGAAGUGACAAAAGUUAUUUGCAGAUGUUCUGCUAGAAAAAGUUGCAUUCUUAAACACAUCUGUCACAAUAUGUUUUUUCAGGUUUCAGUCUAAAGAUCAAGGUAACCCUAACAACGGGGAUUAACAUGGAGCUUUGCUGGUAUCCAGGCAAGUGAUGAUGUGGGUCUUAUCACACGGUAGACAUUGUGACCUUCAGAAGUUUACAUAAGUGAUGAUGAUACCUCUAACAUUUGUGUUACCGUGUUUUUUUGGGUUUUUGCAGAUAUUCAGGUAAGAAAUUAUAGUGUUCCCAUAAUUCCUAUUUAAUAAUACACCCUUGCUGCUUACUAGUGCAGAGAUAAUGUUUUGAAAUCUGGCUAUGACUGAGGGAUUUGUAAGUUUCCAAGUAAAUUAUCGUACUGUUUCUCAUCUCAGUAUUGACUAUGGUAUUUUUACAGGUACCCAGUCAAGAGAUUAUGACAUAUCCAUGGUUUUGACCUGGAUAUUCUGCAAGUAUCAAGGUGCUGUCAGUGGAUGGUGGUGAAACUAACAAUGAUAGUGAACAUGGACUUAGCUAAAAGAGAGGGAAAAGAUGGUGUGAGCCUUUACACUUUGGAGAGCUUCAGAUUUCAGUUAUCUCGGAUUCUGUCAGGAGAUUAUGGUGAGCCCAACAGUGGUAGUUGAUGUGGGACACUGCUGGAAUAUAGGUAACUGAUGUGGUAAGUUUAAAUCACAGCAAGUCUACUUGAUUUUCCUAUAUCUAGGUAAGUGAUUAAUGAUGUCCCAAAUACUUGUUACUGUGUUUGUUUCUUUUUUCUUUAUGUAUUCAGUGAUGAAAAGUUCUUACUAGUAAUAGAACCCAUGAGUUCUUUCUUUUUACCUUUUAGGGAAAAUUUCUUUAACUUUGUGAGUAUUGAGGGAUUGUCACAGUAAUUACCAUUGUGUUUCCCACUGCAUUCGUAAUCAUGGGAUCUUUGCAGUUAUCCAGUCAAGAAAUUAUGGUCUUAUCUGAAAUGGUGUUUACCUUGAUGUACUACAAAUAUUCAAGUAGAGAUGAUGUGUCCAGUAAUAUUGGAAGUAACUAAGGUUAGUUGACAGCAUCCUCAUAGAAAAUAAAUUGUGUCCUUUAACAUGUAUUUUCUAAAGUGUUUUUCAUGUUCCUGUCAAGAGAGCAUGGGGAACCUAAAGACGGUGGUUAACAUGGGACGUUGCUGGUGUCCAGGUAAGUGAUGAUGUGAGCCAUAGUGGUAUUGUUGGCUUCUACUUAGUGUUGUCAGCUUUUGUUUUUUUUUAAAGUAUUCAAGUACGAAAUGAUAAUCUCGUUACUGUUACUAUUAACUAUGUUGUUUGUUUUAUAUAUUAAUGUAAACUUAUGUUUAGCCUAGUGAGUGUUGGAUUUGCAGAAAUCUAAGUAAUUCUUAUGAUGUCCUGCUUGUCAGAUGUAACCCCGGGACUUCUGGAAGUGUGCAGUGAACAGAAAGUGUUUUCACUAACAGUAGUGCAGACCAUAGAAUACUACAAGUAAUCAGGAACAUUUGUAAAAAUUUGUUCUUCAGGUUUCAGUCCAGAGAACAUGAUGAACUUCAAAAUGGUCAUUCACAGGGAUUCACCUGGUGCCCAGGUAAGUGCUGAUGUGAGCCUAAACCACAGUACAGGCCAUCUGAUCUUAGGCCAUCUGAUCUUCAUGUAUAUAGGUAAUGAUGGUGUCACAUUUUUUUGACUAUGUGUUUAUCGCAACUAUUCAGCUAAGCAUGAGAUAGCCCUUAACAAUAUGAGGAACCAUGAAUUUUCACUUUUUUAUUCUGUAGAGAAUGUAUGCUCAACCCUUUUAGUGAUGAAGAACUGCACAUGUCUAGAUAACUAUCGUGGUGCUCCUCCUCCACUAGUAGCCAUGGGAAUUUUGAGAUUAUAGUCAGGAAAUGAUGUUUUUAUCUGGCAACAGCACUUCCUUGGAGUACUUCAGAUAUUCAGAUGCCUAUCCAGAGAUCACAAAGGACCUAAAUAUGUUUGUUAACAGGAGACGUUGCUGGUGUCCAGAUAUGUCUUCAAGAGAUGAAGGAGUUUCUUACCUUGGUUUGAACUUGGAAUUCAGCAGGCAUCCAGGUAGCAUGGAUGGGUCCUGAAAUGAUACAGAUCCAAGUCAAGACAUCAUAGUGAGUCUGUGAAAGGUAAUCAGGGAGUCUGUGAAAGAUGGGAUGUUGCCGGUAUCAAGGCAAGAGAUGGUGUGGGACAAAAGCACAGCACAGCACAGCCCAUCUGAUCAUCAUGUGCAUAGGUUCCUGUGAACUGAUUGUUAUGAAACUAAAAGUGGAUGUUAAUAAAAACAUUUCUGCUCUAAGUAAGUGAUGAUGCACACCCUAACCAAUCAUGAAUCAUCUGAUUUUUAUAUAUCUAGGUAAGUUUUACCAUUUGAUUUUUGGUACGUAGUCAGGCAAAACAUGAUAGCAUUUUAUUAAUUCUAGCAGACGUGUUAAUCCAGAGUUUGUAUUUCACAGAAAAUUUACAUUUAACCAGGUGAGUGGUCAAUGAUUUCCAUGUGUCCUUGAAAAUAUCUUGUGGCUCCCCAUCAGGGUAGCAACCAUGGGAUAUUAUCAGCUGUGCAGUUAUCACCACCCAUGAUGGUGUCUCUAACAAAGAUAUGUUGACCUUGAAUUGAAGCAAGUAUCUAGGUAGAGUUGAUGUGUAUUCCAAAAUAAUGGAAGCAUACAAGGUUGUAGGCAAGUGCCCGGGGAGAACAAGUUGUGACCUUAAACACAUUUGUCUUAUAUGAUGUUUCAGGUUCUUGUCAAAACUAUGAGGUGAAUCACAUAAUGCUCAGUAAUGAAACAUUGCUUGUAAACAGGUAGUGAUAACUGUUUGCGUCCUGUAAUGGGGGUAAUUACACAAUGCAGAGCGUUGGAUUUUCUAGGUAGGUAAAAAGGGAUCCCUAAUGCUUAAGCUACUGUGUAUUUUGUAGGUAAUCCAUUCAGGUUUUUGGGCUAGUAUACAGCUACCAGAUAAGGUUGUAUUAACAUGUAAAACACCUUGGUAUUUUCGGAUAUCAACUUUAUUAAUGUUUUACACAAUAUUAACUUAAACUUGUUUUUCACAUUUAUGCAGUUAAAAAUAAAUAUGCCUCUAGUAAUACAAAUAAUCAAGAGAAUUUAUUGCAUGUCUUGACAGAUAAUGAGUAUUGAACACUUACAGAGCUACACAAAUCCACAGGCAUCUGGAUUAACAGUAUUGUCCAAAACCAUGAAAUUAACAACUGGAAUUAUGCAGGGAUCUAAUCAAGAAAGUACAAGGAUUCUUAAAAGGCGUUUUCCUCAAAUUUCUACAAGUAUUGAGGUACCUUUGAUGAUUACAAAAAUAAUAAAAGGGACCAGAAAAGAUUGGAGGUAUAUAGGUAGAAUGAUACGUGUACCAGUCACACUGUUCACAAUAUAUAUUUCAGAUUUACAUUAACAUAUCGCAGCAAGCCUGUCAAAGCUAGGUAACAUGGGACAUUGCUGGCAGAGGUAAGUGCUGAUGCGGGCCUUAACUACAGCCCGCAGCGUGGGACUGUCACAGAGACUAGUUCAGUGAUGAUGUGUCCCUAAACGUCAUCCCGCCAUGAUUUUUUCCCAGGUAUUCAGGUGAGAAAUGAUUGAGUCUUAACCAAUCUCAGAUAGGCUAGGUUUUCUAAUUUUCUCUUUCACCGAAAGUGUAUGCUGACCCUGUGAGUGUUGAGGGAUUGCAAGUAACCAGGUAUUUAUCACUGUAUUACCCACCCCCAUACUGCCCCUGGGAUUUGUGGAAGUGUCCAGUUGUGAAACGGUGGUUUUCUGCUAUCAGGGUCGACCUAGGAUUACUGCAAGUAUCCAGGUCGAGUGGUGUGUCCCAUAAAGCUGGAAGAACUCAAGGUUCUUUGCAGGAGUCCUGGUGGAAAACCCUGUGUCCUUCUACGUAUAUGUUUUCAUGCCUAUUUCAGCCCCUGACCGUGACAUCACAAUGAGUAUGAUACAGGUCUGGAGGUCAGCACUGAUGAGGACUGAAAGCAACGCACGGGCCACGUAAGGUUCAGCAGUCUAGGAAAGUGAUGAUGGUGUCCAUCCUUCCUGUUGUUCCCAUGAUUUCACUUCAGUUGUCCUAGGAAAAAAUGGUAAGACUCCCUGGCAUAGUAAACUGUGAGUUUUCCCUCUGCAUAUUUCAGAGACAAUGACUAACCCUGUGAGUGCAGUGGGACAGCAAAUACCAGGUAAUGAUCUGGCUUUCCCAGCCACAGCAGUGACCGUAGACAUUUUGCAGGUGUCCUGUAGAGAGAAAUGCUGUCUUCUGGGACCACGGCCCUGAGCUUGGGGACCCUGUCAGCAUCCAGGUUCCCGGGAGGAAAUCCUAACUAACCAGAGACACAAUCAGGGGACGUGUCUGCUAUCUGGGUAAGUGAUGGUAUGUGCUGUAAACUCAACACAGACCAUUUGAUCUUAAUGUAUUAGGUCAGUGAGGUUCCUUUCCCUGAACGGUUUACCAUGUGAUGGGUUUAUGGGUGUUCUGGUAAGAAAGGGUAGUAGCUCCCCGUUCUCAUUGCCAUGUGAUCCUGUUGUUUUCAGUCCAGGAGAGAACGUAUGAGGUAUGUACCCCAGAGAAAAUAGCAUGUCCUGCAAUGGCCUAGACCUUGGAGGACCUGCAAACAUCCAGGUACAAUUUUGGCUCCCACAACGAUGAUCGUGAGCAGGCGGUUUUCAUGGUCCUAGUGGAAAUGCUGUGUCCAUAGACACAUUGGUCACAUAUGUGGUUUUAGGUUCCCGUGGAAAGGUCACAGGAAACCUCUUCGUGCUUGAGCGGAGGACUGUGCCUGUAUUUAGGUGGGUGAUGGCGUGGGCCUAAGCAGGCCACGGACUAUCCGAUCUUCCCAUACACAGGUAAAUGCAGAUGGCUUUCUGGCUCUUGUCCCUGUCCUGCCAUGGGUUCCUCGGCUCAUUUUCUGUUCUUUAUUUUCUGCAGUUAUUCAGUUAAGAAACGAUGCUUUGCCAACCAAGACUGGUAAGCAUUAGUCCUUGCUAUGUUCAACUUUAGGAAAAUGUGCCUUGAACCUGAGUCCGUGUUGACUGAGGGAGAUGUGGGUGUCCAGGUAAAUUAUCCUACUCUACCAGACCACAGGAUGGAAUGAUAGUUCUGACACAUCCUCAGUCCAGAGUCAAUAAUGGUGCCAGCAGUGGGGUGGAAGUUGGAGUUCUGCCAGGAUCUAGGUAAGGCCGAUGGUUCCCAGAUGAUGGCAGUGACCAGGCUGUGUAGUGCAUAUCUUUUUCGUCUUUCAGGUACGCCAAGUGGCAUCCCGGAAAACACCUGUCAGAUGCAUUUCUUCUGCUGCUGCUAGUCAUGAGAUCAAGGCCAGCCUGAGAACGGCCAUUCAGGGGCCCUGGAUUGUAACUGGUUAAUUGAUCACAUGAGUCCUAUGCCAGUACAGACCACCUGAACUUCAGAUUUCCUGGACAAAGAGGGCACUCUCCUUGACACACUGUUUUUCCCAUGGUUUCCUGCAGGAGUCCCGUAAAGUUCUCUUCCUGUAGAGAGAUGUGUGUCAGGGCAUCACAGCAGGCCUUUCAAUCCUAGGUAAUGUGGGACAUUGCUGGGUGAGGUAAGUGCCACAGCCUGCAGUGUGGGACUGUUACAGAGACCUAGUUCUGUGAUGAUGUGUCCCUACAUGUCUUCCCAUCGUGAUUUCUUUCCCAGGUAUUUGGGAGAGAAAUGAUUGAGUCCUUACCAAUCCCAGGUAGGCCGAGUUUUCACAUUUUCUGUUUCACCAAAAGUAUAUGCUGAACCCUGAGAGUGUUGAGGGAUUGCAGGUAACCAGCCAGGUAUUUAUCACUGUGUUCCCCACCCCUGUUCUGCCAAUAGGAUUUCUCCUGGUGUCCAGUCAAGAAAUAAUGGAUUUCUGCAUAGAUUUUGACCGUGUAUCACUGAAGUUGUGCAGAUAUUCCGAUAAGAAAUGUAGAGUCCUGGCUGAGCGCAGUGGCCCACGCCUGUAAUCCUGGCACUUUGGGAGGCCGAGGCUGGUGGAUCACAAGAUUCCUGGAAGAAAUCCCAAUGAACAGGGGUCAUUAUCAGGCCACAUUUCUGGUAUCUGUGGUAAGUAAUGAUGUUCACUUUAACCCCAUCACAGACCAUUUGAUCUUCAUAUAUCUAGGUAUUUAGUUAAGGAAUUAUAUUUUCCCAACCAACGCAGGUAAGCAUCAGUCAUUAUUUUAGAGUUUAGUUAUAAUGUGUUUAGUCUUAUAGUGAGGGAGGGAUAUGCAGGUAUCCAGGUAAGUUUUCCUACUGUUUCCCACCACGUUAUUGACCAUGAGACUUCAACAUCAUCAAGAGAUGAUGGUGCCACUACAUUGUUGACAUUGAAGUCAUGGCAAAUCCAAGUAGUGUUGAAGGUUCCCUGCUGAUGGAAGUGCCCAGAAUUAUUUGUGUCUUGUCUUUUUUUAUGUAAAACAAAUUGUUUCCUUAAACACACUUGAGCAAUGUGUUUUUUAGUUUUCUGUAAUGAGCUCACAAUCAAGCUUAACAAUAGUCAUUAAUGGAACCGUGCUGUAACCUGCUAAUUGAGAAAGUGUGUUUCCCACAAUCAGACCAUUAGAUCUUUAUAUUUCCAUGUAAGUGAGGAUGGUGUCCUUAACACUUGUCUACCAUGUAUUCCUGCAGGUAUCCUGUUAAGUUCUUUCCUAGUAUACAGGUAGAAGAUUAUGUGAUAUUAACACAUUAGCAACCUUCCUAUUUUCAGAUAUGUAGGUGAUUAAUGAUUUUUUUGAGACUCUUCUUGUAACCUUGUGUUUGUCAUGCAUGCAGUUAAGAAAUUACUUUUUCCCUAACAUUACUAGUAAGAGUGAGAUUUUACUGUGUUCUUGUUUAGACAUAAUGUGUAUUUAUCAAUUGUAGUGAUAUAUGGAUAUGCGAGUAUCCAGGUAAUUUAUCAUAUUGUCCAUCACUGUAAUGCUGAGAUUUUUGUAGGUAUCACUUCAAGAGAGGAAAGUUUCUCUUACGAGUGUUUUCCCUUGGCAUUAUGCAAGCAUCCAGUUACCUUUGAUAGGCCCUGAAAUGAUGAAAGAGACGAAGGGAAUUUGCAGGUGUACAGGUAGAAUGAGACAUUUAGGAAACACAUUUUCAACAGUAUAUUUUUUAGGUUCAUUUGAAGAGGUCACAGUGAGCCUAUCAGUAAUAGUUAACAGGGGUCAUUGCUCGUAUGGAUGUGCAUGAUAAUGUGGGCCUAAAACACAGCCCAGCCCAUCUGAUCUUCCCUUAUAUAGGUAAGUGGUGGUGUCCCUAACACUUCUGUUACUAUGAUUUUGUUGUAGCUGUUCAAGUAAGAAAUGAUAGAGCUCUUACCAAUUUAAAAAAACAUUAUUUUUCUCACUUUUUAUAUUUUAGAAUAACUUUAUGAUUAACCUCUGAGUUUUGAGUGAUAGUGCCUAUCCUGGUUAUUGGUGUUUCUUACCACAGCAGUAACCAGGGGAUUUUUACAGGUGUCCUGUCAAGAAAUGACCGUCUUACCUGACAGUGGUAUUGAUCUUGCAUUAUUACAAGUAUCCAGGUAGAGUUUAUGUGUUCUGUAAUGAUGGAGUGACGAAGGUUAUUUUCAGAUGUCUUGGUGGAAAUGUUUGUGUCCUUUAACACAUAUUUCACAAUGUGUAUUUCAGGUUUCUGUAGUGAGACCCUGAUAAACCUAACAAUGGUUGGUAUGGCAGACAUUUCUGGUAUGCAGGCAAGUGAUGAUGUGUUCUUUAACCACAUCAUAGACCAUCAGAUCUUCUUAUAUCUUUUUUUUUUUUUUUUUUGACAGAGUCUCGCUUUGUCACCCAGGCUGGAGUGCAGUGGGGUGAUCUCGGCUCACUGCAGCCUCCACCUCCCAGGUUCAAGCGAUUCUCGUGCCUCUGCAUCCUGAAUAGCUGGGAUUACAGGUGUGCACCACCACAUCCUGCUGAUUUUUGUAUUUUGAGAGAUGGGGUUUUGGCACGUUGGCCAAGCUGGUCUCGAACUCCUGGCUUCAAGCAGUCCACCCACCUUGGCCUCCCAAAGUGCUGGAAUUACAGGCGUGCACCACCACGCCCGGCCAGAUCUUCAUAUAUCUAAGUAAGUGUUAUACAUUUACCUAAACUUUUUUACUGUGUGAUUUUUUUCCAUAGGUACUCAAGUAAGAAAUGAUAGUCUUUACUAACUACAGCAACCAUGUUAUCCUGCUGUUUUAUAUUUUAGAGAAAAUUUAUGUUUAACUUUGUGAUUGGCGAGCUAUUUGCUAUCCAAGGAAUUAACCAUGGAGUUGCAUGUCAUAGUAGCAAUUGUGGGUUUGUUUGCAGGUAAGUAGUAGAGAGAAAAUGGUAUCUGUAACAGUGCUAUAGACCUUGCAGUACUGCAAGAUUCCAGGUAUACUUGAUGGUUCUUGGAAUGAUGGUAGUGAAUAAGCUUAAUUGUGGGGUUCAAGGAAAAAAGCUGUGUCUACACACAUUUGUCAUAAUGUGUUUUUAGGAUCCUGUCAAGAAGACAUGGUAAACCUCAUCAUGAUCAAGAAUGAGACUUUGCUUGCAUCCAGGCUUCCCAAAAGUUGUUUGAUAGUAUACAGGCAUGAGAUGGUGUGACUCUAACUCAUUAGAUGCCUUCGUCUUUUCAGUCAUAUCCAUCUAAACUUUUACUUCAUUGGAGGGUCCUUCCUGACCCAUGCAACUCAACAAAAAACUCUCACAGUUUUUAUAUGCUUUGUUGGGGAUUAACCCAUCUUGCAUUGCAUUGCUAGCUUAGUAUGUCUAGCAUGGGCAUGCCUGCUGAAGUUUGGAACUUCCCAUCAAGGAAACAGGAAAAUGCCAUUGGCAAUGAGCUGAAGACUGAUUUACUCUACCAGGAGCAGCAGGACAUCUGGGGAUGAGAAGAUGGAGAGAUCAUCCUUAUAUAAUGUUGCAGUCUGGAAGCAUCACUCUCAAAAAGCCAUUGUAGAGAAUCCAAGCCGAGUUUAAGAGUGCUGUGGAAAUACACUGCUGCUACUGCUGUUUCUAUUACUGUUUGAUGCUGGGACUCUUAUGCUCCAACCACGUUUUCACCCAGCUGAGUCGCCUUCGUAUCACGCCUUUCCAGUUAGUUGGCCUACGC
RNAcentral lists this long non-coding RNA (18222 nucleotides) under Homo sapiens (human). RNAcentral's name for it is "HSALNT0407001". The record is from RNAcentral. Lineage: Eukaryota; Metazoa; Chordata; Mammalia; Primates; Hominidae.